Molecule: ribosomal RNA, 484 nt
Filed under: uncultured bacterium
Lineage: Bacteria
Description: partial 16S ribosomal RNA
Rfam family: Bacterial small subunit ribosomal RNA
Source: RNAcentral
AUUGAACGCUGGCGGCAUGCUUUACACAUGCAAGUCGAACGGCAGCGCGGGCUUCGGCCUGGCGGCGAGUGGCGAACGGGUGAGUAAUGCAUCGGAACGUGCCCAGUAGUGGGGGAUAGCCCGGCGAAAGCCGGAUUAAUACCGCAUACGACCUGAGGGUGAAAGCGGGGGACCGAAAGGCCUCGCGCUAUUGGACCGGCCGAUGUCGGAUUAGCUAGUUGGUGGGGUAAAGGCUUACCAAGGCGACGAUCCGUAGCUGGUCUGAGAGGACGACCAGCCACACUGGGACUGAGACACGGCCCAGACUCCUACGGGAGGCAGCAGUGGGGAAUUUUGGACAAUGGGGGCAACCCUGAUCCAGCCAUGCCGCGUGCGGGAAGAAGGCCUUCGGGUUGUAAACCGCUUUUGUUCGGGAAGAAAACCUCUGGGCUAAUACCCCGGGGGGAUGACGGUACCGGAAGAAUAAGCACCGGCUAACUACGUG